Macaca mulatta (Rhesus monkey) is the source of this 453-nucleotide non-coding RNA. The record is from RefSeq and is a predicted model, not a curated record. Lineage: Eukaryota; Metazoa; Chordata; Mammalia; Primates; Cercopithecidae.
CACUGUGAGAACUUGAUAAGGAUCUAGGAAGUAAAACCCAUAAAAGCAUGAGGUCUUUCCUAAGACUGAGUCCCCCAGAAGCCGUUAGCUCUCAGACCCAUCCACAUGAAACUUCUGGCAAUUCAUCAAUUAUACUUUAGGUUUUCUUCAUUAGUUUCUGCUCAGUUGUUUGAGAUUGAUUGAAGACCUCAACUGUAACAAAAAACAAACUCAGAGAGGGCAGAGAAAAGCAACUGAGACCUCGCCAUACAAUGCCUUGGUGAGAUGGACUUUCUGGUAAACCUUAUGUUAACUCCUCAAGGAAAUGCCUGGGCAUAUACCAGAAUAGUGCCUGCCUGUGUGAUGCAACCUAAUGCUGCCUCUACUUGCUGGAAUUUUACUUUGUGCCUCUGGGUGGUAAUUAGGGAUUGUUUGAUCUUAGUCAAUAAAAUACUAUUCAAUUUCCCCUGCAGA